Long non-coding RNA from Xenopus laevis (African clawed frog), 3918 nucleotides. RefSeq lists it as uncharacterized. The record is from RefSeq and is a predicted model, not a curated record. Lineage: Eukaryota; Metazoa; Chordata; Amphibia; Anura; Pipidae. The transcript is spliced from 4 exons.
CAUUGUUUCUUUUUUUGCCAGUUCAGUGCAGAGAAAAAGGGGACUUUCCAGUACAAACAAGGGACUGCAGGUUGAGCUGUCAAAAGAGGGACUAUCCCUCUAAAAACGGCACAGUUCGGGGGUAUGGACUCCUAGGGGGAUAUACCUAAAUGGGGAGGUGGUGGACAUGUGUCAUGUUCUUGAUUUGACUGUGGGGUGAAGCAGUGUAUGUGGGGGCCCUAGGGAUAUGUCUGAGGAGAGGGAGUUGGGCAGUGUGUGAUCACCAUAGGUAUUACAUAGUUUUAUUACAUAGCUAUACACCAUUGUUUUACAUAAAUCCUAGAAAAGAUUUAAAAUAAGAUUAAGGCAUAAAAUACCGUAUUAAAUGACAAAUUACUGUACAGAGUGGUGAAUCCACCUCCAUAUCUUUUACUUAAAGGGGAACUCCACACAAACAUAACUUGAGCUUUUUGAAAAGUAAACAAAAUUUCAAGCUAGUUUGCAAUAUUUAUAAAUUAAAAAAUAUGCAGACUUUUCAUGAUUUUUUUUUUAAAAAAAACUUGUUUUUAUUUAUUUGUAACGACAUGAAAUUCUUUAUGGUUCAAAUUUACAUAUCUUUUCAGAAAACAGGUAAGUGAAAAAGAUUCAUGUGAUUAUAACAACAAUAUAUAAUAACAUUUUAUAACAUGUCUAACUUUCAGCUCGUCUGAUAUCCUCUUAAAGACCCUAUGAAAAAGUUAUCUAUGAUGAGAAGCCAGUAAUCUAUUAGUUUGAUGACUCCUGGGAAUAUAUUAUCUUGAUCUCGGUCUUGCUGUAGCCUUCUGAGGUAUUGGGAUGAUUCCAUAACCAGUGGGUGUUCUUAGUGUCUCUUGGUCGUACCAUGUUGUGUAUCUAAAUGUAUAAACUCUAAGGUGUCUGAUUUGUUGUGGGAGAGAUUCUAUGUAUGUUGCCCACAUGUUAAAGAAUUUUGUAGUUUUGUUCUUUUCGGGUUAAGGCUUCCAACCAGUCCAUUUGAAAGAUAUUAUGUAAUUUUUGUUUCAGCACCAUUAUGGAUGGAGGUUCAGUGUCUAACCAAUGUUGUAAUAUUGUUUUCCUAGCUGCUGCAGCAAGUCUUCCCAUCAGAUUUUUCCCUACUUUUUUUAGUUGUGUAUAUAAAGUAGUGUCGCUAAAUAGGGCCCAUUCUAGUUGUAUUUGGAGUGGUUUUCCAGCCAUCUGCGGCCCAUAUGAAAUCACCUCAUGCCAAAAGGUUUGUAAUUUAGAGCAAGACCAUAGGUUGUGUAAUAGAUCAGCUUUAGGGGAGCGGCAUCUAAGACCAUUAUCAGAGGAAAAACUACCCAUUUUAUGUCUUCUAAUUGGAGUAAGAUAUGAAUUAUGAAGGAUUUGGAGAGACAUUUCUUGAUAUCUACUUGCUGGGAGUAGUUUCAUGAUGUUCAUAUGUUGUUUAAAGAUGUCUGAUGUUGUAACAUUUGGAAUGUCUGUGGUCCAUUUGAAGCUAGAUCUUUCUUCAUUAUUAAUUUCAAUUAGCGUUCGGAUAGUCUGAUAUAUUUGUCUUUUCAUGAUUUUAAAUGGUUUGGAACAGUCCUUAAGCCUAGCCCCUACUCUCCUGCUGAUCCAUCUGACUACAUUGCUGAGCUGGCUGACUACUAUUACUUUGUAUCAACAGCCAGUUUUGUUUAGCCUGCAGCAUCCAAACCCCACAAUUCCCUGCAAACAUGAUUUCAAUGAGGAAUGGAACAUCACUGUGCAAUUCAUUGUAGGUUAUGUAGUUCUUGUGUGCUGUUGUAAGCUGUGAAGAAGUUGUUACAAUUUGUAACAUUAGUGUUUAGUCCCUCCUUCCCUGCCAGGAUUUUAAAUGAUGCAGAAAGAGAACUGUUAAACAGAUGGAUUGCAGCAUAGAAAAUGGCAUUUAUUCAUACUUUUUGAAGAAACCGGUAACCGUGAUAUUAGGGGUUUCUGUGUUGUGUGGGCCUCUUUAUCAGAAGAGUUCCCCUUCGAUUUAUUUUGCAUAUGUACCACCUCUACCAUAUGUCUAUAUGUCACUACAUCAGCACCUAUAUCCGCAGGGAUGCCUACUGGGAUGGAUUAAAUAAAGCAUUAUUGAAAAAAAAUGUUCUGCAAAUUGGGAACUCCUAUAGAGUUAUUUAAAGAUUUUAUUUUUCCACCUAAUUUUGCAUUUUUUGUUUGUUUCGGCCCUAGCUUCUAGUGCACAAAUCACAAAGGUAGCAGCACUCCAUUUUCAUGAAGAUACAACUGCCUUCAUUCCCACAUAUGGCAGGCAGGCCUUUCCUAUUCAUAUUCCAGUGGAACAGAAGAGGGACAAGAACCCAUGGCAGAACUACAGAGUGUUACACUCUUCAAUACUUAAGUGACUGCUGCUGGCACUUUCCAUGUACACUCUAAGGGUGCAUCCAGUGGAAGAGGAGGGGACAAGCAGGACAUGAGGUGCUCCUGAAUGAUUCAAUUUUGAUUUCUGCCUACUGGGACCCAUGUCUGUCCUUUGUGAAUGCACUUUGUAAGACCUGUGAUAGAAAAAAAUGUUUCCCCUUUAAUACGCCUAAGGUAAGUUCCCCCACAAAAUAAUUCUAACUUCAAUAGACAGCUGCCUUCAUCACUGCUACUUCACACCAGACCAAUGGAAACAAUUGACUGCCCCUCAAGAAGUGAAACAACAAUGCUGUCAACAGUGCUAGUCCCACAUACUAUUGAGCCCCAACUGACAUUUCAGUGGUUAAUAACUCAACGGGACAAUAAAAGAACCUAUAGUAGAAAAUGUAUGUAAUAAUAAUAAAUAUGUCAUUAGUACAAAUAUUUUGCAUAAAUUAGACACCCCUGCAUAAAUAUUUGACUGCUCCCCACCCAGCAUCGUUCAGUCAAUAGACUGAACCUUGAACGUUAGUAUUGUAUGUGAUACAUUCUUACACAUUUUCACAAAUUUGUGAAGAUUUUGCUGCUAGGCCUACACUUUGUAACUGUAUAUUCCUUGCUUCAAUAAAAGGCUGUCUGGGUCACUGUCACAUCUGGUACCUGUCUGCACCAUGGGAAAUUAAAUGUUAAUGCUGUUAACUGCAACAAGGAGGCAUUUCAUUGGUUAUCAUCCAUGAUCUCAUGUUGACAAGCAGUGUCAGUUUAAAAAAAACAAUCCAUACUUUUGGCUAAAUCCCUCACUGCUAUACCCUUCCGAGUGGCUAUUAUUAGUACUGCUACUACAGGCACCAUCACUCCCUUCUAUCCCACAGCCAAAGUCCUUUCACAGAGGCUAUUGUUGUUAUAAAUACCGUCUCUCCAUACUAUACCUAUCUCAGAGCUACAGUCUCUUCACAGAGGCUAUUAUCUCUACUGCAACUAUAGGCACAUCCCAUCCUACUAUUACCUCACAGUCUCUUCCCAGAGGCUAUUAACCCCACUGUUAUUACAGGCUCCCUCUUUCCCUACUAAAUCUACUAUCCCACAGUUCCUUCCUAGAGGUUGUUAUCCCACUGCUACUGCAGGUAUCAUCUCUUCCUGCUAUCCCAUUGCCAUAAUAUUGUUCAAUAUUUAACAUGCUCCAAAAGUGAUGAUUUUCCAGGAAAAAUCUUUGAAUUUUAAAACUUACUAGAAAGACCUACCUAAGAUUCUCACUUUACCUUGUGCAGUUGCCUGGAGGUGUCUUAGCCAGGUUCAAAGUUUCCCCAAGCAAAGAACAGGCCUUGCUAAAGGGUACAACUAGGCUACACACAAUGGGGCAAAUUCACCAAAGGGGAAUUUUCUCCUCGGAAGGCUUUGCCAAACUUCACUCAACUUUAUCAGGAGCAAAUUCGCUACCACUACGCUAACUCACUAAAUUGCGAAGUUGCAUCUCGGCAGCCGAAUGCUGCAAUAAAUGUUGUAAAUCAGCAAUCCGGAAGGCAAAGAAAGGAAAUGAGUUAAUUGCGGUGGAGGUGAAAACUAACCCUAAAAAGU